CACGUAAUUAGCCGGUGCUUAUUCCUGCCCUACCGUCACCGUCCCGGCAUUUCCUCCGAAACUUAUUCCUCGAACAGAAAAGAACUUUACAACCUUCCGGCCUUCUUCGUUCACGCGGCGUCGCUCCGUCAGGGUUCCCCCCAUUGCGGAAUAUUCUUACCUGCUGCCUCCCGUAGGAGUCUGGGCCGUAUCUCAGUCCCAAUGUGUCCGUCCGCCCUCUCAGGCCGGAUACCCGUCCUCGCCACGGCGGGCACUUACCCCGCCGUCUAGCUGAUGGGCCGCAGACCGUUCCCGACGCGGAGCCGAAGCUCCUUUCCCGCUGUCUACCUCACGUAAACAGUGAUCUAUCCGGUAUUACCCUCUAUUUCUACAGGCUGUCCCAGACAUCGGGGUACUUAUCCACGUGUUACUCACCAGUCCGCCGCUCUCGGCAUUGCUGCCUGCCGCUCGACUUGCAUGGUUAAGCGCGCCGCAGCGUUCGUCUGAGCCAGGAUCAAACUCU
This 502-nucleotide ribosomal RNA is filed under the name uncultured Treponema sp. RNAcentral describes it as "partial 16S ribosomal RNA". The record is from RNAcentral. Lineage: Bacteria; Pseudomonadati; Spirochaetota; Spirochaetia; Treponematales; Treponemataceae.